Peromyscus californicus insignis is the source of this 591-nucleotide long non-coding RNA. RefSeq lists it as uncharacterized. The transcript is spliced from 3 exons. The record is from RefSeq and is a predicted model, not a curated record. Lineage: Eukaryota; Metazoa; Chordata; Mammalia; Rodentia; Cricetidae.
GACACCUCUUCAGUUGUGUCCCUAAAGGUCAAAGUCUCAGUCAAGACACGCAGAGGUGAAGUCCUGCUCCUCUGAAGGUCCAGCCUAAUCUGUCUUUAACAGCCACCGGGGGCAGCACCUCACAGACGGCAGACAUCAGGCAGUGGUGAGGACGGCGCUGCGCUGGGGCAUCGUGUCGGCUGGCUUAAUGGCCAGCGACUUUACCACCAUGCUGAGCUCCCUGCCUCCCUCGGAGCACCAGACAGGAAUAUCGUCCCUAGCCGUCGUGGAGGAGGCUCUAGCCUCGCUGUUUCAGCCUCUUCCCAUGCUUGCCUCCCAUCUGCUUUAUCUCCACAAUGGUCCCACCUCAAGCCUUUGAAUCUGACACCAGGUGGUGGCAGUGGCUGCGAGGGACCUGAACAGGGCGAAGGCGUUUGCCCAGAAGUACAACAUCCCCGAGGCAUGUGGUUCCUACGUGGAGCCAGCAAAGGACCCAGACGUGGGUGCACCUGACGCCGGGCGGUGGUGGCACACGUCUUUAAUCCCAGCCCUCAGGAGGCAGAGGCAGGCAGAUCGCUGAUCUACAGAGCGAGUUCCAAGACACCCCCCCCC